Molecule: small nuclear RNA, 105 nt
Organism: Mustela putorius furo (domestic ferret)
Lineage: Eukaryota; Metazoa; Chordata; Mammalia; Carnivora; Mustelidae
Source: Ensembl
AUGCUCGUUUUGGCAGCACGUCUACUAAAUUGGAAUGAUACAGAGAAGAUUAGUAUGGCCCCUGGGCAAGGAUAACAUGCAAUUUGUGAAGUGUUCCAUAUUUUU